RNAcentral lists this ribosomal RNA (1066 nucleotides) under Rulyrana saxiscandens. Its description in RNAcentral is "partial 16S ribosomal RNA". It matches the Rfam family "Bacterial large subunit ribosomal RNA", at positions 855 to 2597 of the family's 2925-position model. Lineage: Eukaryota; Metazoa; Chordata; Amphibia; Anura; Centrolenidae. The record is from RNAcentral.
ACUCAAGAAAAGAAUUUAAGUUCAACCUAAAAUUAACCCCAUACAGUAAAAAUACAAUUUUAAUUUUAGAGCAAUUCAAAUAAGGUACAGCCUAUUUGAAAAAGGACACAACCUAGACAACCGGGUAACUCUUAAACUUCACUCGACAAAGUGGGCCUAAAAGCAGCCACCUUUUAAAAAGCGUCAAAGCUUAAUCGAGCCGUUAAUUAAUUCCAAUUAUACCCAAGAACCCUUAAACAAUAUUGAGUAAUUCUAUACUACUAUAGAAGAUUUUAUGUUAAAACUAGUAACAAGAAGAAGAACUUCUUACAUAAUGCAAAUAUAAAUCAGACAGGACACCCCCACUGAUAAUUAACACCAAUGAAGAAAAAGUAGUAACUUAUCAAGAAAACUCUACUAAACCUAUGUGUUAACCUAACACCAGAGCAUUCCAAAAAAGAUUUAAAGAAAGAGAAGGAACUCGGCAAAUAUUAACCUCGCCGGUUUACCAAAAACAUCGCCUCUUGAACAAAUAUAAGAGGUCCAGCCUGCCCAGUGACUCUGUUCAACGGCCGCGGUAUCCUAACCGUGCGAAGGUAGCGUAAUCACUUGUUCUUUAAAUAAGGACUAGUAUGAAUGGCACCACGAAGGUUAUACUGUCUCCUCUUUUUAAUCAGUGAAACUAAUCUCCCCGUGAAGAAGCGGGGAUAAAACUAUAAGACGAGAAGACCCUAUGGAGCUUUAAACCAUGUAGCACUUGCACCUAUCAAACACAAAUUCCAGAAAAAUACACUUCACCCAUGCAAGAUUGCUGCCAGUUUUAGGUUGGGGUGACCGCGGAGCAAAAAUAAACCUCCACAUUGAAAGGAACCCACUCCUUAGCCAAGAGUUACACCUCUACGCACCAUAAAAAUGACAUUAAUUGACCCAAUAUUUUGAUCAACGAACCAAGUUACCCUAGGGAUAACAGCGCAAUCCACUUUAAGAGCUCCUAUCGACAAGUGGGUUUACGACCUCGAUGUUGGAUCAGGGUAUCCCGGUGGUGCAGCCGCUACCAAAGGUUCGUUUGUUCAACGAUUAAAACCCU